AUCUCCCACUAUUGUUGUAUAGCAGAGCAGUCAAUCAAAUGUCACCUCAGAGCCAUCUGCAAUCAAGCCUGGAAAAACUACCUGUACAGGAGGAGGCUGCAUCUGAACUCAAGCUCAACCUGCAGAAUCUUGUUGUAUACACUUUGGGGAGAACAGCAGUUCCUACCUUCACAUCUGGGAACAUGAAGAUUUGGAGAUGCUGUUUUGUUUAUUCAAAUAAUAUCUGUGUAGGCACUACUUGACCUCUUCAAGACUCUGUUCCUUCCUCUGCAUAAUGAAGAUUAAUAGUGUCUGCCUCAUCUGGCUGCAGUGAGGAUUAAACAGCAAUAAUCUGUGAACACCUCUUAGUCAUGUCUGGUACUUAACAAGCACUCAGUAAGAUUUUGUGGUUUAUCUAUUAUUCUUGUUGUUGUCGUCGGCAUCAUUAUUACUACAAUACAGCCAAUAGAUCAAAUUUGCUGAUGUCAGAGCCAUGAGAUACUAGUGCAAAUGUAUUUAUGAAGUCUAUAAUGUGAUUUUUAAAUUUUUCUAAAACCUGUUUUCCACUGAAUUAUUUCAAAGUAUUUUCUCAUUGUAAUCAAAAGAAGCAGGCUCUGCCACCUAGUGGCUCCUUAAGAUCACUCGAGAAAAACCUAAAAAGACACCAGAACAAAACACAAAAAACAAAAUUCGUAUUUACUUUAAACAGAGAAUCCAUGCUGUAGAUUUUAAAAAGAAGUGAUACAUGGAAUAAAAUUUAUAAAUUUAAAAUAAUGAAAUCCUAUUAUUUUCUCCAUUGUAUUAUACCAUUCAAAUUGCAUUUGAUUAAUUCUUAAUAGCACCUCUAAAGAGUGACUAGAAACCUUUAUAGCUUUUAGUUCACAGUUAAGUGCCUUGGUUUCUUCAAGUGAGAUGUGAUAUAAUGAUUUUAUCCUUCAUGCUUUUAAAAUGCAAAUAAAAAUACUGAUUUAAAAAUAUACAGAGAGGGUGCUCAAGGACCUUUUAUUUGUUUCUUAACUUGGAGGGUAAGUACAUGUUUAUUUUAUUGUUAUUCUUUAAACUAAAUAUAUAUGUUUACAUAAGAAUGAAUGAAAU
RNAcentral lists this long non-coding RNA (1074 nucleotides) under Callithrix jacchus (white-tufted-ear marmoset). RNAcentral's name for it is "lncRNA (ENSCJAG00000077576.1)". Lineage: Eukaryota; Metazoa; Chordata; Mammalia; Primates; Cebidae. The record is from RNAcentral.